UCUUGGUUUAAUUCUGGCCAUAGAAGGGUUUAUGAUUGUUUUCACAUAAGCAUGUUCUGUAUUUUUUAAUUUUUAGGAAUUAUUUUUUUCUAUUUUUUAGUGGUGAAAUCUUAUUUUAUAUGUGGUUAUAGUUUAGGGCAAUCUUAAUAUUGGUGGAUAAUUCGCAGUGCCAGCAUCCGCGGUUAUUCUGCUUACCGGGCUCUUUUGAUUGGUUAAAAUGUUUCCGAUUAUAUUUUUAAAUAGCUGCAAUAGGUUUAUUUAUUUUAGAUAUAAAAAUCGGAUUUGAGUUGAACUUCUUUUUGAGGAUAGAGAUUAGAGACCUCUUUACUUGGUUUGAAAUUUUUUCCAUGGUUUCAACUAAAAGGAUUUGGCAGCUGAUGAUUUUCAUCCGGGGGAGUGUGCUUUUUAAACAGACAGUACGCUUAAGAGUUUUCCAUUUUUAUUUUAGUUAGUGUAUAUCCGGUUUAAUAUCUGUGAUUAGUUUCUUAAUAGAUGUAUGAUCAAUGUUUUAAGUCAGGUCGAUGUGCUGCUAAUAAUUUGGGUAAUUGUGCAUUACAUUAUAAAGGUUAGUUCUGUAAUUAUGUUUCUAAUUGAUUUAGGACUCGGUAGUAGGGUUAUUUUAGUUUGAUAACUCGAAUGUGAUUUAGUUGGGGUACACAUCGCCCGUCAGUUUCAAUGUUAAUUGGGAUAAGUCGUAACAUGGUAGCGGUUGGGGAACCAGUCGCUAGUUGGUU
Molecule: non-coding RNA, 734 nt
Filed under: Hysteromorpha triloba
Lineage: Eukaryota; Metazoa; Platyhelminthes; Trematoda; Diplostomida; Diplostomidae
Description: small subunit ribosomal RNA
Rfam family: Microsporidia small subunit ribosomal RNA (bases 335-727)
Source: RNAcentral